AAUAUUGGACAAUGGGGGCAACCCUGAUCCAGCCAUGCCGCGUGUGUGAAUAAGGUCUUCGGAUUGUAAAGUGCUUGAAGUUGGGAGGAAGGGCUUUAGGUUAAUACCCUGAAGUAUCGACGUUACCGACAGAAUAAGCACACGCUAACUCUGUGCCUGCAGCCGCGGUAAUACAGAGGGUGCCAGCGUUAAUCGGAAUUACUGGGCGUAAAGCGCGCGUAGGUGGUUCAGUAAGAUGGGUGUGAAAUCCCCGGGCUUAACCUGGGAACUGCUUUCAUAACUGCUGAGCUAGAGUACGGUAGAGGGUAGUGGAAUUUCCUGUGUAGCGGUGAAAUGCGUAGAUAUAGGAAGGAACACCAGUGGCGAAGGCGACUACCUGGACUGAUACUGACACUGAGGUGCGAAAGCGUGGGGAGCAAAC
Molecule: ribosomal RNA, 421 nt
Filed under: uncultured bacterium
Lineage: Bacteria
Description: partial 16S ribosomal RNA
Rfam family: Bacterial small subunit ribosomal RNA
Source: RNAcentral